GUGAGCUGGACAAUGUAAUAUUUUUCCUGUGAAAAAGGACUUCUGGGCCCAGUCCUUGCAUUCGGGACUAUAUAUCUACCUACUCUCUCAAGUUUCGCAUAAUUUGGCGUUUUAGAAAUGUCCACGGGAAUAUAUUUCGAUUCUUUGGUGGUCAAAUUUUAUGAAGUUCGAUAUAAAAUGUGAAAGAGGAAGAAGAGACAGGAGAGAGAGGAAGCAGAGUUCCUGGCUAAAAAGAGCAUAUUCUGCGGGUCUACUCAACCCUACCCUGGUUCCGAAUCCCUUGAAAUCAACGCUUAACACAGUGGAACACUCAAUUUUUGCCAAAUGAAAUGGACUAUCUGCUGCUACUCGCUGUCGAACAUAUUUUUUAUGCCAUUUAACUUUUUCGCAUUAAACUGAUUAAAUUGAUUAA
Long non-coding RNA from Episyrphus balteatus (marmalade hoverfly), 412 nucleotides. RefSeq lists it as uncharacterized. The record is from RefSeq and is a predicted model, not a curated record. The transcript is spliced from 2 exons. NCBI's taxonomy places the organism in Eukaryota, Metazoa, Arthropoda, Insecta, Diptera, Syrphidae.